Molecule: non-coding RNA, 768 nt
Organism: Dermacentor albipictus
Lineage: Eukaryota; Metazoa; Arthropoda; Arachnida; Ixodida; Ixodidae
Source: RefSeq, a predicted model, not a curated record
UAAACUUUGAGGCUGACUUCCACUGCCUAUCGACAGGCGAAUCGACGAAUGACGAUCCAGGUGCAUGCGUCAUUCGUCAGAAUGACGCAUGCCGGUCUCGCUUGCCAAAGGGAACGAGACCGGCCACACAUCUGAGCAUUGACCCGUUCGGUCACCCCUCUGCCCGUUUUCUUUUUUAAUUUUUGGAUUUAGCCUAGUUUGGUGGGCUCUCGGCAAAUUGUUGCGUUCUGUGAACUUCAACACGACACCACUGCACCAUUGAACCACGGCAAGAUGGUCACCACAUCGCAGGUCUGUGUACAGCAGAAAACAGUGAAAAAUCCAUCGGCAAAAAGUAAAACCAUGAAAAACAAUGGGAAAGAUAACGCACCAAGAAGAACAGACCUCCCAAAUAUGAUGACCAAACGAUAGGCAGUCCACCCUGCAUGGGACCUUCAACGUCCAUUUCGGAACCUACCAAGGGUUGCCUUAGCGGCACAUGGUCGACAUCUGCCACUGUAACAACUGCUUCCGCAGGUGCGAAUUGUCGUACUUGGCACGCCAGAUAUUGACAGUACGUGAUCAUGAUGAUGCAGAACGUAAUCUAAGACAGCUCUGGAACCUCGCGCCAAUGACAUUCCAGAACUGAAAUCAUGGCUUUCUUGUACCAAUACAGCUCAAGGUAAAGGACAAGGUCAACAGAAAGGCAUAUUUAAUACGUAAACAGUGCUAACUUUCAACAAGGUGAUCGCUGUGUGUGGGUGUGACGGUGCGGCAUUAUUUGAUUCG